UUUGUCAUGAAUCCAUUUGUGUCCUUUGUUUAAUAUGCACAUAGACCAAGGUGAGCGACACAGGCUCUUUAGAGCCUCUAGUUCUUUUUGUUAAUCUUUUACAUGUAUAAUGAUAAGCCAUCUGUUAAAGUCUUAUAAAACUUUAAUUAUUUUUUAACAGUUUUUGAGAACUUCAACUUGUCAAUGAUAAAGCUAUGAAAAGUCAAGAGAGAAUAUUUUCCCGCAAAAAUUUCAAUGGCUAAUAUCUUGAAAACAGGCACGGUGACCUAUGUAUGUUUUUUUGCUCUUUGAAUUCCUUUAUUAAUCCCCUAUCAAUAUAAACUAGUGUUAUGAAAAGUUAAUUAUUUUGAAACUGAGAAGGGAACUCCCUUAAGUUUAACAAUCAAAGUUUAUGAGACUUGGUCCCCUUGGUGUUUUCCAUACCAAAACAUUGUCUUAGCCUUUUCAUGUUAUAUUAUUUGGAGAUGGCAUCUUUCUUAGACUGGCAGAUUUCACUAGCUGCACAUAUGUUUCACUCAGUAGACAUAAUUCAUUCAAACUUGUGUUGUGUUUUGUUAAGUUGCUUUUUAGUCCAUUUUUUACUUUUAAUUUUAAAUCUGGGUAACUUUUUUAGGUUUUCUGUACCAAAAAAUGGACUUGCCUAUUUCUGCAAAUAUCCAUAUAGGCAUCCUUAUAUGCUUGGAAACAACAUGACAGAUUUCAACCAACCUUGGACAUAUUUUUCAACAUUUUAAUCUAAGUGAUUUUUGGGUGUUUUCCAUACCAAAACAUUGUCUUAGCCUUUUCAUGUUAUAUUAUUUGGAGAUGGCAUCUUUCUUAGACUGGCAGAUUUUAUUAAGGAAGCUGGCUUGUCAUGUUUUGGAUAAUUUGUCAGAUUUUCGGUAUCCUCUGGUUUUAUCCAUUUGAAUGCCUUGAAAAAUUUUGCCCGGUGACCCCAAUUUUUCUUUUUGUAAAUCUUUUACAUGUACAAUGAUAAACCAUCUGUAAAAGUCUUAUAAAAUUUUGAUUACUUUCUAACAGUUUUUGAGAACCUUAACUUGUCAAUGAUAAAGUUAUGAAAAGUCAAGAGAGAAUAUUUUCCCGCCAAAAUUUCAAUGGCUUAUAUCUCGAAAACAAGCACGGUGACCUAUAUAUUUUUUUAGCAUUUUGGUUUCUUUUAUUAAUCCCCUAUCAAGAUAAACUAGUGUUUUGAAAAGUUAAUUACUUUGAAACUGAGAAGCGAACUCCCUUAAAAAGAUAUCUGGGUAAAUUUUAGACAGAAAUACUCAUGUAUAGUUAUAAUAUUUAUGUUUCAUUAAACUGGUAUGUUCAUGAAUUAUUGUUAAAGCAUUCAAGUUCAUUUCAGGUAACAAGUACCAUAUGGAAUAUGUAUAAGAUUUUCUUUUUGUAAUAUUUUUUUUGCCAUAUGGUCCGAGACCACAAUUAUUUCAUAGUGCAUUUCUUUUAGAAGAUGAAUGAAAAUUUAAAAAAUCCCACCUGUGCUUUCUCAAUGAAAUUUUUACAGUGUGUUGUACUACUUUUGGGACAAAUUAUAUCAAAAUUAUAGAAAACUUCAUCAGCUCUAACUCAAAAUAUGGACAGUUUUAUGUUUAGGGUGUCUUGAAAUCUUUUGACAGCUUCCGAAGUGCUAACUUUCAACCUUUUUCAGCUGGACCAAAUCACUACUUUCCUUUAAAAUUCUGAACCCAAAUUUUUUUACAGUGUAAUUUCACCCCCUUCUUGCAAUUUGAGGCAUUAAACAUGGAGAAAUAAAUUUGGAAGGGGCAUAAAAAUUAAUGGCAAGUAACCCACUGUCAACACUAGGGACUAUAUUUGUGAACAACGAAAAUCAAGGGACGACCAAUUGGUCUCGGACCAUAUUUUAUUGUUGUCAUUAAAAUCUUAUAGCCAACAAAGUGUGAUGUAUUAAUGUGAGACACUUAAAGUGUUCAUUUGAUGUCAUGUGGCUUCCUUUUGAGUUUAUAUGUCAUCUAGCAACAACAUUUCUGAAAAUGGGUAGCUAGUUUUGUGGAAUUUCUAUAUUUGAAUCAACCAUAUAAAGGAAAAUGUGUUUUGUAUAGUAUUAGGUUGUAUAGAUUCAUGCUUGGUAUUAUAAGCUUUGCUUACAUAUACAUGUAUCUUGUUUUUACUGUUACACAUACAUGUAUCUACUUACCUACCUCCACUACAGAUGGCUCAUAGACCUCAUGUUUUCAUACAUAUUCCAGUUAUAAAUCACUUCAUAAUGAAUUUAUCUUGAUGUUAGUGGUACAUUGCUUGACAUAAACCUCUUACACUGAGACAUAGUUCAAAUGUGUUUCUUUUCUUUGAGUUAUUCACAGAAUACUGGUUUUUCCAAAUCAUUGACAAGAUCUUUAUAUUAUUAGACCCUUCUUAGCAUUCUGGUUCAAAGGGCUAGAUAUCUUUACUAUCACUUUGAGCAUCCAUCAUCUGUUUUAAGUGUAUUUUUACAAAAUCUACACCUUCGAAACUAUUGGACCAAAUGGAACUAAUCCUGGCCUGUAUCAUCCUUUUCAAAGUUAUUGCUGCUGAACUUAUGCAUUGAAUAUACAGGAUCUUAAGAGACUCUUAUUUUAAAUCUUUGUUAUUAAAUUGUUGUUUAAAAUUCAUGACAUUGACAUAUUUGCUAUUAUUCUUUAAUGAACUUGAGGUCACAAAAGUAAGAAAAUAAAAAUGUAUGACUUUGUAUAUAGAUGCAUCUUGUUACGAAGUUUCCAUCAGUCACAUGUCAAAUGUCCUUGACCUCAUUUUCAUGGUUCAGUGACUGUGUUAAAUUUUCUCUUAUUAUAAGUAAUAGGAUAACUAUAUUUGGUAUGUGCGUACCAUACAAGGUCCUCAUGCCUGUCAGACAGUUUUCACUUGACCUCAACCUCAAUUCAUGGAUCAGUGAACAAGGUUAAGUUUUGGUGGUCAAGUCCGUAUCGCAGAUACCAUAAGCAAUAGGAGUAGUAUAUUUGAUGUAUUGAAGGAUUGUACGGAUAUUAAGCAAACAACAAUCAAUCACUCAUAGAUUAGAAUCAUGACCACUUGCUUUAUUCAUUUAUCUUACACAUGAGGGUCUUGCAAGGUUGGUUCAUUUAUCCUUUUUUUUGGGGUCACCAAUCUUAUAUAUUUUAUUUUAUUAACAAACAAAGAUAUUUAAUUAGUUUUACACUUUUGGAGUAGUCUUUUGUUAAAAACAAACUAACAUGUUUAACCUCGCCACAUUCUGUAUGUAUGUGCUUGUCCCAAGUCAGGAGCCUGUAAUUCAGUGGUUGUAGUUUGUUUAUGUGUUACAUAUUUGUUUUUCGUUCAUUUUUUGUACCUAAAUUUGGCUGUUAGUUUUCUCGUUUGAAUUGUGUUACAUUGAUAUUUCGGGGCCUUUUAUAGCUGACUAUGCAGUAUGUGCUUUGCUCAUUGUUGAAGGCCUUUUAGUGACCUAUAGUUGGUAAUUUCUGUGUCAUUUUGGUCUCUUGUGGAGAGUUGUCUCAUUGACAAUCAUACCACAUCUUCUUUUUUUAUAAUCAAAAGUUCAACUAGACUGAAGAAUAGUAGAACUAUAACCAACAAUAGUAAAACACUGAACAAACUUUAAAGUACACUGAACAAAAGUAAAACUACUCUUAGUGAUAUAGCAGACUUUGAUUCUGUAGUGUUUUAAACUAAUUAUUCAUAGAGACAAUUUUAAAUACAAACUAAGCGUUAUCUUUUUUUAAUAUUAUUACAUUUAAUUAUCAUAAUAAUUAAAAUAUAAACCAUGACAAAUUGCAUAAUAUUUUAUUUCUUUGUUUAACUUAUUGAUUAACAUUGCUCAAAAGAGGUGAAAAAUUAAACUGUUCACAAACAUUUGUUUAGGGAAAUCUGCAUUAUUGAUGAUCAGUAUAUCAAAAGCCCAGUGGUCACAUACGCUAUUUAAGAGUGGUUUUCCACAACUUUUAAAUGUGGCACAACACACUUGGAUAUCAAGCCAUAUCUCAUGAUAAAUAUAGUUUUUGAGAUUUUGAGAUAAUAUGAGAUACUUUGUAAAUUACUCUGAAUCAUUCUGUUUAUCCAUGUUAUCUUCAACAUUUGUUUUAUGGUAGAGAUUGCAUGAAAUGCAAUCAAAACCUUAUGGUACUGACUUGAUAUAUAAAUCUUCAAAGGCUUAUCACUACCUUUUUGAAAGACAAAAUGUAGUACACUGAUCAUAACAUUCUAUUCAUCCUAUUCAUGAACAUUAAUUUAUCAAUGUGAUAUACACUCAAGAUAUUGAAUUAAUGCAAUCUUUACCCACAGUGCUUACAAGCACUUUGAUUUGAUUAUCCUGUUGGUAUCUUCUGUAUUUUUUACAUAUAAAAUAUUUUAAAGUGAUAGAAAUAUUAGGGUCACAAUUCCUAGUGAGAAAAUAUGAUCAUUUAAGAACAACAUUUACUUAUGUUUAUACUAUAUAAUGGAUUUAUUUUAUUGUUGUGUUAUAAUGUUGCUGUUAAUAUUGUUUAUGCUUGUUGGAAAUUUGUUAAAGGAGAUUUCUUAUAUGUGUG
Molecule: long non-coding RNA, 4499 nt
Filed under: Mytilus galloprovincialis (Mediterranean mussel)
Lineage: Eukaryota; Metazoa; Mollusca; Bivalvia; Mytilida; Mytilidae
Source: RNAcentral